Molecule: ribosomal RNA, 440 nt
Filed under: uncultured bacterium
Lineage: Bacteria
Description: partial 16S ribosomal RNA
Rfam family: Bacterial small subunit ribosomal RNA
Source: RNAcentral
CCUACGGGAGGCAGCAGUGGGGAAUAUUGCACAAUGGGGGAAACCCUGAUGCAGCGACGCCGCGUGAGUGAAGAAGUAAUCCGUUAUGUAAAGCUCUAUCAGCAGGGAAGAAAAUGACGGUACCUGAGCAUGAAGCCCCGGCUAACUACGUGCCAGCAGCCGCGGGAAUACGGCGGGGGCAAGCGUUAUCCGGAUUUGCUGGGGGUAAAGGGAGCGUAGUCGGCAGUGAAAGUCUGGAGUUAAAGGCGGGGGCUCAACCCCCGGACUGCUCUGGAAACUGUACGGCUGGAGUGCAGGAGAGGUAAGUGGAAUUCGUAGUGUAGCGGUGAAAUGCGUAGAUAUUAGGAGGAACACCAGUGGCGAAGGCAGCUUACUGGAGUGUAACUGACGUUGAGGCUCGAAAGCGUGGGUAGCAAACAGGAUUAGAGACCCGAGUAGUC